UACGAGGGCUCCAAGCAUUAUCCGGAUUUAUUGGGCGUAAAGGGUCCGCAGGCGGCCAGACGCAUCUCCUGUUAAAUCUUCGGGCUUAACCCGGAGGCCGCGGGAGAGAUGGUCUGGCUAGAGACCGGAAGAGGCAAACGGAAUUGUUGGUGUAGGGGUUAAAUCCGUUAAUAUCAACAAGAACACCAAAUGCGAAGGCAGUUUGCUAGGACGGUUCUGACGCUCAGGGACGAAAGCGUGGGGAG
RNAcentral lists this ribosomal RNA (245 nucleotides) under uncultured bacterium. RNAcentral's name for it is "partial 16S ribosomal RNA". It matches the Rfam family "Bacterial small subunit ribosomal RNA", at positions 524 to 768 of the family's 1533-position model. The record is from RNAcentral.